Molecule: ribosomal RNA, 491 nt
Filed under: uncultured bacterium
Lineage: Bacteria
Description: bacterial SSU rRNA
Rfam family: Bacterial small subunit ribosomal RNA
Source: RNAcentral
UGGGGGCAACCCUGAUCCAGCAAUGCCGCGUGGGUGAUGAAGGCCUUCGGGUUGUAAAGCCCUUUCGGCGGGGAAGAUGAUGACGGUACCCGCAGAAGAAGCCCCGGCUAACUUCGUGCCAGCAGCCGCGGUAAUACGAAGGGGGCUAGCGUUGUUCGGAAUUACUGGGCGUAAAGGGCGCGUAGGCUGUGCUGUAAGUCAGGCGUGAAAUCCCCGGGCUCAACCUGGGAAUUGCGCAUGAUACUGCGGCGCUGGAAGACGGGAGAGGAUGGCGGAAUUCCCAGUGUAGAGGUGAAAUUCGUAGAUAUUGGGAAGAACACCGGUGGCGAAGGCGGCCAUCUGGCCCGUAUUUGACGCUGAGGCGCGAAAGCGUGGGGAGCAAACAGGAUUAGAUACCCUGGUAGUCCACGCUGUAAACGAUGAGUGCUAGACGUCGGGGAGCUUGCUCUUCGGUGUCGCCGCUAACGCAUUAAGCACUCCGCCUGGGGAGU